Molecule: long non-coding RNA, 1097 nt
Filed under: Olea europaea subsp. europaea
Lineage: Eukaryota; Viridiplantae; Streptophyta; Magnoliopsida; Lamiales; Oleaceae
Source: RNAcentral
CCCGUUCAAUUUGCAUCGAAACACAUUAUUGUUCAUAUUUCAAGAUCUAGACAAAUCUUAAUAAAACAAUACAAUCUUAUCAACAUAAAGCGUCCAACUUUAUGAACCGAUUGUAAACGACAUAAUUUUGAUAAUAUCGAAUUGUGUCUUACUAUACCCAAUUCAUCGAAUAUACAAUUUGUGACAUUAUGUAUGAUCAUGGAACCUUAGAUAAUCACUUCAAAUUAUAACACGCAAAUAAAUAAAUGUCAAUUCAUAAUGUAAUUUUACAGAACACUACUCGAAGAAUGGGCAUCAAGCGAACAAGAACAUCGUGCUGUGAAGAAACUAUACCAAUCGAUAAGUUUUAUUUUAGCAUUUUUACUCAUCCACGAGUUGCUGCAACUAAUUAUAUUUCGAAAAAACUGCACUUCUUAUCCACGAAACCUUUUCUAUUGGACUCAUUCAAGCACAAAAUUGGAGUCCCAUUUAGGUCAACUGCAAAUCGAACACCAAAUGCCAGAGGCCAACCCUCUUGACUCAAAGAAGAGAAAGGUGCACACAGAAGACAAUUCCAUAAUUGUCCUCGAAAUCUCAGUAGGAAAAGUCUUGGGAUUGCUGGUUAAUUCCAUGUUUGUCGGCUCUGGAACUACAGAAACUGAGCAUUUCACAGUCUGGAUUGAAAUCUGAGACAAGGAUUUGUUCUUAACGGCUUAAAUGAUUGCAAGGUGAUUGGUUUAAAGGGUGGAAAUGAAGGCCUGGGAAAAUGGGUUGUUGGGAAAACUGAAGAGGAGAGAUGGGAAGUGGAAAAUUUGGUUUGGGGAAGCAUUUGGGCUGACAAAAUUAGCGUAUUUCUGUACAAGGGCUUAUGGUAACUUGGAGAGGAAUGGAGGAUUUUGAUUGUGCAAUGGGUGCGCCUCGGAUUGGAGGGCGUGGAGAUGCUGGGAACUGUUUAGUAGAGAUGGAAGGCGAUGAGAUAAAUUUGUUUAGCAGAGUUAUGAUCCUUAGUAUAAAUUAAUUAGGAAAAUGCAAUAUGUACAGGGUCGAGUUAUGAUCCUUGGUAUAAAUUAAUUAGGAAAAAUUAAUUAGAAAAAUGCCUCCUGCACAGAUGGUAUAAA